UACAGAGGCCUCGAGCGUUAGGCGGAAUCACUGGGCUUAAAGCGUGUGUAGGCGGACCCCUAAGUACCUUGUGAAAUCCCACGGCUCACCCGUGGAACGGCUGGGUAUACUGGUUGUCUUGAGCCAGCUAGGGGCGAGCGGAACAGACGGUGGAGCGGUGAAAUGCGUAGAUAUCGUCUGGAACGCCGAAGGUGAAAACAGCUCGCUGGGGCUGCGCUGACGCUGAGACACGAAAGCCAGGGGAGCGAACGGG
This 253-nucleotide ribosomal RNA is filed under the name uncultured bacterium. RNAcentral describes it as "partial 16S ribosomal RNA". It matches the Rfam family "Bacterial small subunit ribosomal RNA", at positions 524 to 776 of the family's 1533-position model. The record is from RNAcentral.